UAACACGUGGGGAACCUGCCCCAUAGUCUGGGAUACCACUUGGAAACAGGUGCUAAUACCGGAUAAGAAAGCGGAUCGCAUGAUCAGCUUUUAAAAGGCGGCGUAAGCUGUCGCUAUGGGAUGGCCCCGCGGUGCAUUAGCUAGUUGGUAAGGUAAAGGCUUACCAAGGCGAUGGUGCAUAGCCGAGUUGAGAGACUGAUCGGCCACAUUGGGACUGAGACACGGCCCAAACUCCUACGGGAGGCAGCAGUC
This 252-nucleotide ribosomal RNA is filed under the name uncultured Lactobacillus sp. Its description in RNAcentral is "partial 16S ribosomal RNA". It matches the Rfam family "Bacterial small subunit ribosomal RNA", at positions 111 to 355 of the family's 1533-position model. Lineage: Bacteria; Bacillati; Bacillota; Bacilli; Lactobacillales; Lactobacillaceae. The record is from RNAcentral.